RNAcentral lists this ribosomal RNA (463 nucleotides) under uncultured bacterium. Its description in RNAcentral is "partial 16S ribosomal RNA". It matches the Rfam family "Bacterial small subunit ribosomal RNA", at positions 29 to 523 of the family's 1533-position model. The record is from RNAcentral.
AGUGAACGCUGGCGGCGUGCCUAAUACAUGCAAGUCGAACGAUGAAGCUCUAGCUUGCUAGAGUGGAUUAGUGGCGCACGGGUGAGUAAUGCAUAGGUUAUGUGCCCUUUAGUCUAGGAUAGCCAUUGGAAACGAUGAUUAAUACUGGAUACUCCCUACGGGGGAAAGUUUUUCGCUAAAGGAUCAGCCUAUGUCCUAUCAGCUUGUUGGUGAGGUAAUGGCUCACCAAGGCUAUGACGGGUAUCCGGCCUGAGAGGGUGAACGGACACACUGGAACUGAGACACGGUCCAGACUCCUACGGGAGGCAGCAGUAGGGAAUAUUGCUCAAUGGGGGAAACCCUGAAGCAGCAACGCCGCGUGGAGGAUGAAGGUUUUCGGAUUGUAAACUCCUUUUCUAAGAGAAGAUUAUGACGGUAUCUUAGGAAUAAGCACCGGCUAACUCCGUGCCAGCAGCCGCCGUAA